RNAcentral lists this long non-coding RNA (300 nucleotides) under Elaeis guineensis (African oil palm). RNAcentral's name for it is "long non-coding RNA (EGUI_LNC001742)". Lineage: Eukaryota; Viridiplantae; Streptophyta; Magnoliopsida; Arecales; Arecaceae. The record is from RNAcentral.
UUUUGACCUAUGACACUCACUAUUUGCUUGUUUAAGUUCACAUUCACAUCAAUAUACAAGUGAUAAAGACUGUCAAUUAAAAGACCUCGUGCAAUCAAUUUAUUUCGUAAAUAAAUGGAACAAAAAUUUUUUAUUGAAAUUAAUUUCAAAACCUUUAUAUACUAGCUAUAGAAACAUAAUAAUAGUCCUUUAAAUCUAAUCUAACACCAGACAAUAAUCAAAGAGGAUAAGUGCCAACGGCCUCUACAGCAACCUUUGCUCCAUUGUCGAUCUGAAGAAUCAUGUCAUCUUUUCUCAACC